RNAcentral lists this ribosomal RNA (497 nucleotides) under uncultured bacterium. RNAcentral describes it as "partial 16S ribosomal RNA". It matches the Rfam family "Bacterial small subunit ribosomal RNA", at positions 28 to 507 of the family's 1533-position model. The record is from RNAcentral.
GAUGAACGCUGGCGGCGUGCCUAAUACAUGCAAGUCGAGCGAACAGACGAGGAGCUUGCUCCUCUGACGUUAGCGGCGGACGGGUGAGUAACACGUGGAUAACCUACCUAUAAGACUGGGAUAACUUCGGGAAACCGGAGCUAAUACCGGAUAAUAUAUUGAACCGCAUGGUUCAAUAGUGAAAGACGGUUUUGCUGUCACUUAUAGAUGGAUCCGCGCCGCAUUAGCUAGUUGGUAAGGUAACGGCUUACCAAGGCAACGAUGCGUAGCCGACGUGAGAGGGGGAUCGGCCACACGGGAACGGAGACACGGUCCAGACUCCUACGGGAGGCAGCAGUAGGGAAUCUUCCGCAAUGGGCGAAAGCUUGACGGAGCAACGCCGCGUGAGUGAUGAAGGUCUUCGGAUCGUAAAACUCUGUUAUUAGGGAAGAACAAAUGUGUAAGUAACUAUGCACGUCUUGACGGUACCUAAUCAGAAAGCCACGGCUAACUACGUG